GAGUAUCUGCCCUCUAUCUUUGUAUUCUUUCUUUUAUUUAUGCUUUGUCUUUGAUGUUUGUAAUCAGACUUUGUCCCAAUUUUGUAACUGGACUUCGGCUCAAUUUUAUAAGUCAUCUCAACUUAACAAAAUCAAAGACUUUUCACACUUUUCUUGCAUGCGGUCCAAAAAUUUUUGAUUUACCGAGCCAUCCUCGAGUGUAUAGGUCGUAGCUCCGACACACCUCAUUAGGAC
This 234-nucleotide long non-coding RNA is filed under the name Elaeis guineensis (African oil palm). Its description in RNAcentral is "long non-coding RNA (EGUI_LNC025048)". The record is from RNAcentral. Lineage: Eukaryota; Viridiplantae; Streptophyta; Magnoliopsida; Arecales; Arecaceae.